UUCACACAGUGGGCCAAUCUCAGUUUUAAAGGUGCAUAUUUUGUGUGGAGGAGGAAGAGUUCUAGGAACAGGAGGAGCUGAUGGAACCAUGAAGGUUUGGGAUUUAGAACAUCAGUAUUAUACUCAUAACUUCAGGACAGGGAAUGGAGUUUGUUCGGUUAUAGAGUUCCAUCCAGUCAAGGCAAUC
Molecule: long non-coding RNA, 187 nt
Organism: Eurytemora carolleeae
Lineage: Eukaryota; Metazoa; Arthropoda; Copepoda; Calanoida; Temoridae
Exons: 3
Source: RefSeq, a predicted model, not a curated record